GGAGGCGCUCGGGUCCCGGUGGGCCUCGCGGUCUUCAAAACCGUCUGCGGGGCGGGCUACUCCCGUCCUGGGUGGGUUCGACUCCCAUGCGCCUCCG
Molecule: transfer RNA, 97 nt
Filed under: Chloroflexota bacterium
Lineage: Bacteria; Bacillati; Chloroflexota
Description: Chloroflexi bacterium tRNA-Sec
Rfam family: Selenocysteine transfer RNA
Source: RNAcentral